RNAcentral lists this transfer RNA (74 nucleotides) under Nitrososphaeraceae archaeon. Its description in RNAcentral is "tRNA-Thr". It matches the Rfam family "tRNA". Rfam says of the family: Transfer RNA (tRNA) molecules are approximately 80 nucleotides in length. Their secondary structure includes four short double-helical elements and three loops (D, anti-codon, and T loops). Further hydrogen bonds mediate the characteristic L-shaped molecular structure. tRNAs have two regions of fundamental functional importance: the anti-codon, which is responsible for specific mRNA codon recognition, and the 3' end, to which the tRNAs corresponding amino acid is attached (by aminoacyl-tRNA synthetases). tRNAs cope with the degeneracy of the genetic code in two manners: having more than one tRNA (with a specific anti-codon) for a particular amino acid; and 'wobble' base-pairing, i.e. permitting non-standard base-pairing at the 3rd anti-codon position. Lineage: Archaea; Thermoproteati; Nitrososphaerota; Nitrososphaeria; Nitrososphaerales; Nitrososphaeraceae. The record is from RNAcentral.
GCCUUGGUAGCUCAGCCUGGAAGAGCGUUUCCUUGGUAAGGAAAAGGUCGCGGGUCCAAAUCCCGCUCAAGGCU